AUUGAACGCUGGCGGCAUGCCUAACACAUGCAAGUCGAACGAAGGCUUCGGCCUUAGUGGCGCACGGGUGCGUAACGCGUGGGAAUCUACCCCUCGGUUCGGAAUAACAGUUAGAAAUGACUGCUAAUACCGGAUGAUGACUUCGGUCCAAAGAUUUAUCGCCGAGGGAUGAGCCCGCGUAAGAUUAGGUAGUUGGUGGGGUAAAGGCCUACCAAGCCGACGAUCUUUAGCUGGUCUGAGAGGAUGAUCAGCCACACUGGGACUGAGACACGGCCCAGACUCCUACGGGAGGCAGCAGUGGGGAAUAUUGGACAAUGGGCGAAAGCCUGAUCCAGCAAUGCCGCGUGAGUGAUGAAGGCCUUAGGGUUGUAAAGCUCUUUUACCAGGGAUGAUAAUGACAGUACCUGGAGAAUAAGCUCCGGCUAACUCCGUGCCAGCAGCCGCGGUAA
RNAcentral lists this ribosomal RNA (449 nucleotides) under uncultured bacterium. RNAcentral's name for it is "partial 16S ribosomal RNA". It matches the Rfam family "Bacterial small subunit ribosomal RNA", at positions 30 to 523 of the family's 1533-position model. The record is from RNAcentral.